This 1098-nucleotide unclassified non-coding RNA is filed under the name Hevea brasiliensis (rubber tree). Lineage: Eukaryota; Viridiplantae; Streptophyta; Magnoliopsida; Malpighiales; Euphorbiaceae. The record is from RNAcentral.
AGAAAAAAAAAAAAGCAGUGUGGGACAGAAUUGGACAUUCCUUGCAUGAAACUAAUAAGAGGGCUGUCUGCAUAUCUCCACUAUCAGAUGAGGGGGCAGCCCUUCAAUCUGCAUUAUGAAGUGAAGCCUUUGUAACCUUCGUGUGGGCAGGUCCUGAGUAUUAUUUAUUUUUUACAUAAAUUCCUAUUAUUUGAAUAAAUAAUGAGAAAGCAGGCCAUUUUUUUUGGCUUGUUUUUCUUGUUGAGCUGAGCUCAAAAAAGAGGGAUUAGAGCUUGUUUGAGCUUUAGUUGGGUAUCAAAGAGACUAAUUGAAUUUCAACAGGGCAAAUUCACUUCCUUACUUUGUUUAUACCUUAAACGUUGAUCCUAGGAAUUCCUGAAAUUCAUAUGCAAGACUGCUUUUUCCGAGUGCCUUGUAGUGCAAUAUUGUCUUCUUUCUUAGUUUGUUACAAUUAUGGGAAUCAGGCAAGCAGCCACUCUUAAAAGAUUGGAGUUGCUAAUUACCGUGCAUUUUGGAGAUAAACUGUAUGUCUUUAACUUGUUUUCUUGUAUGUCAAGGAUGGACAAUUUGAUCGGGAGAACUUCAAUUGUGGACCAAGCAUGCCUUCGUCACCUGGAGAAACACUUUGUGCAGCAGUUUCUGCUUCCACAUGGGUGGAACCUCAUGGAAAGUGUACGGUUGCAUUUGCUCUUGCGUGGUCAUCGCCAAAGAUAAAAUUCUCAAAAGGAAGCUCAUAUCACAGGUGAAUCUAUGAUAAACCUUUUUAUUUUUCACGUUCUUCAGUGCAUGUUUGUGUUUUUCUAUAAUCUUGGGUUGCACACCUAUGGCAGUGCAGUGAUGGCUAACAAUCAAGUAUUUGAUUGUGGCUUUCUGGAGAUUAUUAUUUGUCUUCUUCUUUUACCAAAUGGAGAGCUUGACCUUACAUUGCUUUCAAACUUAAUGAUUUAGCAGAAUGGCCUUUUUGUUUUUCAUGUUCUCUCUGUAAAUUAUGUUUUUUGGGAUCGAAAGACCAAAACAAUUUGUAGCAAAUCCCAAAUAGUGCAGAGAUAGUUAUGAUGAAUCAUAUUUGAUUUUGGCUGUUUUUUGUACAUUUUGGUC